CGUAAAGGUGCAUGAGUGGUGUUUGGUAUGUUACGGGUGGUUGGAUGUCUGCUUGUGCAGCAACGUCCACGCGUGCAUACCUCUUCAGUUGGGCGGCCGGGCUUGUUUUGCCUUGGUCGAUCGUGGGUUUCCUGUGUUGCAUACCUAAAUGACGGUACCGUUUGAUUCGAUUGAUGUCCCUUUCGUCUUCCACCGCACUUGUGGUGCGGGACGAACCAUGAAGCUGUCUCGGUGACCCAUCCUGUCGAUGUACACGCAUCGUUGGUGUGGCUCAUUGAGCAUUGCYUGGUCUCUUGGAUACGGUAGCCGAAGUGGGCAAGGGGUCUCGUGAUCUCUUGUUUGCCCUCGUCUAGCGUUCUCGCUUCUAAAAAACGACCGUCCGUCGCGUGCUGGCUCGUCCGGCGUGGCGGGCUUUGUCGAAGAGGAAUGCUACCUGGUUGAUCCUGCCAGUAGUCAUAUGCUUGUCUCAAAGAUUAAGCCAUGC
RNAcentral lists this unclassified non-coding RNA (484 nucleotides) under Corymbium enerve. Its description in RNAcentral is "partial contains external transcribed spacer and 18S ribosomal RNA". The stretch from base 431 to 484 matches the Rfam family "Eukaryotic small subunit ribosomal RNA", at positions 1 to 54 of the family's 1831-position model. Lineage: Eukaryota; Viridiplantae; Streptophyta; Magnoliopsida; Asterales; Asteraceae. The record is from RNAcentral.